This 372-nucleotide ribosomal RNA is filed under the name uncultured bacterium. RNAcentral's name for it is "bacterial SSU rRNA". It matches the Rfam family "Bacterial small subunit ribosomal RNA", at positions 524 to 898 of the family's 1533-position model. The record is from RNAcentral.
UACGGAGGGUGCAAGCGUUAUCCGGAUUCACUGGGUUUAAAGGGUGCGUAGGCGGGCAGGUAAGUCAGUGGUGAAAUCCCCGAGCUUAACUUGGGAACUGCCGUUGAUACUAUCUGUCUUGAAUACUGUGGAGGUAAGCGGAAUAUGUCAUGUAGCGGUGAAAUGCUUAGAUAUGACAUAGAACACCUAUUGCGAAGGCAGCUUGCUACACAGUCAUUGACGCUGAGGCACGAAAGCGUGGGGAUCAAACAGGAUUAGAUACCCUGGUAGUCCACGCCCUAAACGAUGGAUACUCGACAUCAGCGAUACACUGUUGGUGUCUGAGCGAAAGCAUUAAGUAUCCCACCUGGGAAGUACGACCGCAAGGUUGAA